RNAcentral lists this ribosomal RNA (863 nucleotides) under Acinetobacter baumannii. Its description in RNAcentral is "bacterial SSU rRNA". It matches the Rfam family "Bacterial small subunit ribosomal RNA", at positions 558 to 1422 of the family's 1533-position model. Lineage: Bacteria; Pseudomonadati; Pseudomonadota; Gammaproteobacteria; Moraxellales; Moraxellaceae. The record is from RNAcentral.
GCGUAAAGCGUGCGUAGGCGGCUNAUUAAGUGGGAUGUGAAAUCACCGAGCUUAUNUGGGAAUUGCAUUCGAUCGUGGUGAGCUAGAGUAUGGGAGAGGAUGGUAGACUUCCAGGUGUAGCGGUGAUAUGAGUAGAGAUCUGGAGGAAUACCGAUGGCGAAGUCAGCCAUCGGGCCUAAUACUGACGUUGAGGUACGAAAGCAUGUGGAGCAACCAGGAUUAGAUACCGUGGUAGUCCAUGCUGUAAAUGAUGUCUCAUAGCCGUUGGGCCCUUUGAGGCUUUAGUGGCGCAGCUAACGCGAUAAGUAGCCCGCCUGGGGAGUACGGUCGCAAGACUAAAACUCAAAUGAAUUGCCGGGGGCCCGCACAAGCGGUGGAGCAUGUGGUUUAAUUAGAUGCAACGAGAAGACCCUUCCUUGGCCUUGCCAUACUAGAAACUUUCCAGAGAUGGAUUGGUCCUUUCGGGAAUCUAGAUCCAGGUGCUGCAUGGCUGUCGUCAGUUCGUUUCGUGAGAUGUUGGGUUAAGUCCCGCAACGAGCCCAACCCUUUUCCUUACUUGCCAGCAUUUCGGAUGGGACCUUUAAGGAUACUGCCAGUGACAAACUGGAGGAAGGGGGGGACGACGUCAAGUCAUCAUGCCCCUUACGGCCAGGGCUACACACGUGCUACAAUGGUCGGUACAAAGGGUUGCUACACAGCGAUGUGAUGCUAAUCUCAAAAAGCCGAUCGUAGUCCGGAUUGGAGUCUGCAACUCGACUCCAUGAAGUCGGAAUCGCUAGUAAUCGCGGAUCAGAAUGCCGCGGUGAAUACGUUCCCGGGCCUUGUACACACCGCCCGUCACACCAUGGGAGUUUGUUGCACCA